GGGUGGAAUUGUACGGCCUAAUGAGACAUGGGUCUAUAACGGUCAAACAAUGGAUAUUGUGGAACAAUUUUGUUAUUUAGGUGUAUUAAUACCGUAUAAUUGUAAAUUUCUUAAAUACACAGAAACAUUGUGCAGAACAAGGUAGAAAAGCUAUGUUCAGUAUGAGAAGAACUACAUCAUCAUUAUGUUUAAAUGUAUUUACAAUGCUUAGUCUUUUUGAUACUUAUGUUAGUAGCAUAUUAAUGUAUGGGUGUGAAAUAUGGGGAGUACACAAAUCUCCUAUGAUAGAAAAGGUCCAUUUGGACUACUGCAAAAUGUUAUUAAGUGUCAAAAGAACGACCUCAAAUGUGAUGGUCUAUUUUGAAUUAGGUAGAUUUCCACUGCAGUAUGAGCGUAAUUAUAGAAUAUUUAAAUUUUUGUUCAAAAUUUUAAUUAGUGACAAUUGUAUAUUAAGGUCUUGUUAUAAAGAACUUGUGUUAAGUUGUUCAAAAUGUAUGAAUUGGGCAACAUAUGUUAAAAGAUUGAUAUAUAGUCUUGGUAUGAAUAAUUUGUGGGAUAAUCAGUGGUUGUUAAAUGUAGACAGCUCAUAUUUACCUUUGAUAAGACAGCGUUUGUUUGAUCAAGCUAACCAAGAGUUACAAUUUUUAUUAGAUUUUUCUUCAAAGUGCAGAUUAUAUAAGUAUGUUGUAACAAAUGUAGUUUUGCAAUUUUAUUUACAGAAAUGCAUUCCUGUACUUUUUAGUAAAUGUAUAACAACGAUUCUUUUGUCUUCACAACUCUUGUAUUGAAACUGGACAGUAUGUUGGUACUAAUAGAAAUGAAAGAAAUUGUAUUUUUUUGUGAUUUAGGAGUAAUAGAGGAUGAAUUUCAUUUUAUCCUUCAAUGUAGUAGAUAUACUGAUUUGCGAAAAAAAAUAUAUAAAAAAAUAUUACUGGUCUAGGCCAUCAACUUUUAAAUCAAUAGAAUUGUUGUCAGGUGAAAACACAAAACAGCUUUGUAACUUGGGAAAGUUUAUACAUUUCUCUUUUAAAUUAAGAAACAGUUUAUUGUAAUAAAAGAUAACUUGUAUUGAUGAAACUUCUGACGUCGCCUAUUGUUUAUUAUGCAUAUUGUUUAUAUUGUUUGUAAUAUGCCAUAUGUAUACACUGUACAUGUACUUGAUUAUACUGAUGAGCCGUAAGGCUCAAAGUUAAUAAAGAAUUUUAACUUGAAUUUGAGUAUUGAUACCAUACUUUAUGAUUGACAACUGUCAUUCUCAUCAAACAAUCAGGGACAAGGUGGACCUUUAAUUACAAUGCCCCACCUCCUAAACUAUCAACAUGAUCAAUCAAAUUGACAUCAUUACUUAUCAACCUCAGUCUUACAUAAUUAUACAAACC
This 1379-nucleotide long non-coding RNA is filed under the name Mytilus galloprovincialis (Mediterranean mussel). The record is from RNAcentral. Lineage: Eukaryota; Metazoa; Mollusca; Bivalvia; Mytilida; Mytilidae.